GUGAAGAAGGCCUUCGGGUUGUAAAGCACUUUCAGCGGGGAGGAAGGCGAUAAGGUUAAUAACCUUGGCGAUUGACGUUACCCGCAGAAGAAGCACCGGCUAACUCCGUGCCAGCAGCCGCGGUAAUACGGAGGGUGCAAGCGUUAAUCGGAAUUACUGGGCGUAAAGCGCACGCAGGCGGUCUGUCAAGUCGGAUGUGAAAUCCCCGGGCUCAACCUGGGAACUGCAUUCGAAACUGGCAGGCUAGAGUCUUGUAGAGGGGGGUAGAAUUCCAGGUGUAGCGGUGAAAUGCGUAGAGAUCUGGAGGAAUACCGGUGGCGAAGGCGGCCCCCUG
This 334-nucleotide ribosomal RNA is filed under the name Klebsiella pneumoniae. RNAcentral's name for it is "bacterial SSU rRNA". It matches the Rfam family "Bacterial small subunit ribosomal RNA", at positions 405 to 731 of the family's 1533-position model. Lineage: Bacteria; Pseudomonadati; Pseudomonadota; Gammaproteobacteria; Enterobacterales; Enterobacteriaceae. The record is from RNAcentral.